ACAGCAGUCGCCGCGGGAAUACAGAGGGUGCGAGCGUUAAUCGGAUUUACUGGGCGUAAAGCGUGCGUAGGCGGCUUCUUAAGUCGGAUGUGAAAUCCCUGAGCUUAACUUAGGAAUUGCAUUCGAUACUGGGAAGCUAGAGUAUGGGAGAGGAUGGUAGAAUUCCAGGUGUAGCGGUGAAAUGCGUAGAGAUCUGGAGGAAUACCGAUGGCGAAGGCAGCCAUCUGGCCUAAUACUGACGCUGAGGUACGAAAGCAUGGGGAGCAAACAGGAUUAGAGACCCGCGUAGUCCCUGUCUCUUAUAC
Molecule: ribosomal RNA, 305 nt
Filed under: uncultured bacterium
Lineage: Bacteria
Description: partial 16S ribosomal RNA
Rfam family: Bacterial small subunit ribosomal RNA
Source: RNAcentral